Molecule: ribosomal RNA, 209 nt
Filed under: uncultured bacterium
Lineage: Bacteria
Description: partial 16S ribosomal RNA
Rfam family: Bacterial small subunit ribosomal RNA
Source: RNAcentral
UGCGUAGGCGGCGCGGUAAGUCGGGUGUGAAAUCUCGGAGCUUAACUCCGAAACUGCAUUCGAUACUGCCGUGCUGGAGGACUGGAGAGGAGACUGGAAUUUACGGUGUAGCGGUGAAAUGCGUAGAUAUCGUAAGGAAGACCAAUGGCGAAGGCGGGUCUCUGGACAGUUCCUGACGCUGAGGCACGAAGGGUCAGGGAAGGCAAACG